CUUCAUAGGAGCUCUGGAUCUCCCUGGCACAUGGAGUCACCUGGAGGAGUCUGAGGGCAGCCAGGAAAGCACUGAGUUUCAGAUUGCCACAGGACAAAAUCUUGUGCUUCUGAGCUCAGCAAUGAAGUUUUAAUCACCCCAAUAUACAUCUUUCCAUGACAUAUAUUUUUCUGUCCACCAAAGACAUAAUGGCUGCUCCUUUUAUGGGAAACCAGGAUUUAAUCCAGCAAAUAAAAUGACAGAAUCGGAGACCAUCCAAUGUCCUGCUCUGGUUUUCUGGGGCAUCCUAAGUUGCUGAUGUGUGAAAGUGAGACAAGUCUUGACAUACUUGGUAUAUCCAGCUUGUAUAUGCUUACCUUUCAUUCAAAUUGACUGUUAUUUUACCAAAGUGUUAAUCUUAAAUAAAUGUUCAUA
Molecule: non-coding RNA, 414 nt
Organism: Lonchura striata (white-rumped munia)
Lineage: Eukaryota; Metazoa; Chordata; Aves; Passeriformes; Estrildidae
Source: RefSeq, a predicted model, not a curated record